CUCCCAAAAGCCUGUGUGAUGUGCUAUCUAUGGAUUUCCCUUUUGAGGUAGAUGGACUUCUCUUCUACCACAAACAGACCCACUACAGCCCCGGAAGCACUCCCUUGGUGGGCUGGCUGCGCCCCUACAUGGUGUCAGAUGUCCUUGGUGUAGCUGUGCCGGCUGGCCCGCUGACCACCAAGCCAGACUAUGCUGGGCACCAGCUCCAGCAGAUUAUGGAGCACAAGAAGAGCCAGAAGGAAGGCAUGAAGGAGAAACUCACACACAAGGCCUCUGAGAAUGGGCACUAUGAGUUGGAGCACCUGUCUACUCCCAAGUUGAAGGGUUCUUCCCAUAGCCCAGACCACCCUGGAUGCCUCAUGGAGAAUUAAAGAGAGAAGCCUCCUUAAGGAGCCACAGGAUGGUACCUGGCCCCAAAAGGAAUCCUGGAGAGGAGGACAGUGACAACAGGAAAUGGAUCCCACUUCCUGUGGCUUCAGUCAGCUCCCACAUUGCUUCCCAUCUUUCUAGGACUCUGUCAUGGAUACAAGUACUUCAGCAGCACUAGUGUCCUGUGGACAAAUUUUCACAGGGAUCCAGGCUACCAAGCAGUUUCUCGAAGAGAUUAACAAGUGGACAGUUCAGUACAAUGUUUCCCCGCUGUCUUGGAAUGUGGCUGUCAA
This 662-nucleotide small RNA is filed under the name Pongo abelii (Sumatran orangutan). Its description in RNAcentral is "processed transcript". The record is from RNAcentral. Lineage: Eukaryota; Metazoa; Chordata; Mammalia; Primates; Hominidae.